UUCAGUUGGUGAGCCUUCUAUAUUUCAGAAGGCCUAGUUGUUUUCAGUCAUUUAUCAUUUAUUAUGGUUUUGAUCUAUUGGGGGCCUUGUCCUAGUUUUCAGAUAGCUUUGAUUUGAUCAUGUAGUAGAGAUUUCACAGACUGGUUCAGACAUUGUCUAGUUGUUGUUGGGCUUUACUUUCUAUAUUAUAAAUUGAAUUCAGACUUAUGAC
RNAcentral lists this long non-coding RNA (211 nucleotides) under Capsicum annuum. RNAcentral's name for it is "long non-coding RNA (CANN_LNC011654)". Lineage: Eukaryota; Viridiplantae; Streptophyta; Magnoliopsida; Solanales; Solanaceae. The record is from RNAcentral.